UUCGGGAUCUGGAAGAGUGGCGAACGGGUGAGUAACACGUAAGAAUCUGCCUCUCGGACGGGGAUAACUUUUGGAAACGAAAGCUAAUACCCGAUACGCUGUGGAGUGAAAGAAUUUCGCCGAGAGAUGAUCUUGCGUCUGAUUAGCUAGUUGGUGUGGUAAAGGCACACCAAGGCGACGAUCAGUAGCUGGUCUGAGAGGAUGGACAGCCACAUUGGAACUGAGACACGGUCCAAACUUC
Molecule: ribosomal RNA, 241 nt
Filed under: uncultured bacterium
Lineage: Bacteria
Description: partial 16S ribosomal RNA
Rfam family: Bacterial small subunit ribosomal RNA
Source: RNAcentral